Molecule: ribosomal RNA, 360 nt
Filed under: uncultured Corynebacterium sp.
Lineage: Bacteria; Bacillati; Actinomycetota; Actinomycetes; Mycobacteriales; Corynebacteriaceae
Description: bacterial SSU rRNA
Rfam family: Bacterial small subunit ribosomal RNA
Source: RNAcentral
AACCCUCUUUCGACAGGGACGAAGCUUUUGUGACGUUACCUGUAUAAGAAGCACCGGCUAACUACGUGCCAGCAGCCGCGGUAAUACGUAGGGUGCGAGCGUUGUCCGGAAUUACUGGGCGUAAAGAGCUCGUAGGUGGUUUGUCGCGUCGUCUGUGAAAUUCCGGGGCUUAACUUCGGGCGUGCAGGCGAUACGGGCAUAACUUGAGUGCUGUAGGGGAGACUGGAAUUCCUGGUGUAGCGGUGGAAUGCGCAGAUAUCAGGAGGAACACCGAUGGCGAAGGCAGGUCUCUGGGCAGUAACUGACGCUGAGGAGCGAAAGCAUGGGGAGCGAACAGGAUUAGAUACCUUGGGGUAGUCA